Molecule: long non-coding RNA, 719 nt
Organism: Ipomoea nil (Japanese morning glory)
Lineage: Eukaryota; Viridiplantae; Streptophyta; Magnoliopsida; Solanales; Convolvulaceae
Exons: 3
Source: RefSeq, a predicted model, not a curated record
UACAUGUGUCUUGCUUCUAUAUUUUUAUUUGCAUGCCAAAUACAGUACAUAUAGUUGCAUAUACAAAAAAUAAAUUCAUUGGUUAAGAUUUAAUGAUUCCUCAUUAAUGGAAUUAAGAAACCUGCAGAUGGAGUAUCCAGAAGUUGGUCUUGAAAGAUGGGCUGAAGAGCUUUGUGUUAAAAAGACGGUGGAUAACUUUUUAUUAGCAAACAUUAUGUUGUGAAGGAGUAUGUUGGUCAUUAGAGAUUUACUACUACUUCAUGAGUAUAUGUGACUAGGGCAAGGAAGAUUGGUAUGUCAUUUGAAUACCUUUUUGAAAACUGGGAAGCUAAGCUGCUAGAAGUCAAGUAUUGAAGAUGUAGAGGUAGUUAGGAGAGUUUGAAAAGUUUUACAAGUGACUUGGAGAAUGCUUUCUAUGAAGAAGUAUGGGAAGUAGCUAAAGGAGAAUUCUAUGGACUAAGAUUCUUGAAGCUAAUAAACUUGAGCAUUGUGCAAGCUAAUAAGCGAUGGUGAUUUCCCAUGUCUCGAGUUGUUAGUCUUGAGAUGUUAUUGUUUGGAAAAGUUCCCUUAGCUUGGUGUUUAACAGAAAAUUUGAAGCUGCAGUCAAUUAAGUUGGAUUAGUGUGGCCCUUCCCUGAGCUUGUUGCUUUUGCUAAGCAGAUUCAGUACUGGCAAGUUGAAAUGGGAAACUGCAUUUUUGAGGUUAGAAUGAUCCAUUUU